Molecule: ribosomal RNA, 468 nt
Filed under: uncultured bacterium
Lineage: Bacteria
Description: partial 16S ribosomal RNA
Rfam family: Bacterial small subunit ribosomal RNA
Source: RNAcentral
GACGAACGCUGGCGGCGUGCUUAACACAUGCAAGUCGAACGGAAAGGCCCUGCUUUUGUGGGGUGCUCGAGUGGCGAACGGGUGAGUAACACGUGAGUAACCUGCCCUUGACUUUGGGAUAACUUCAGUAAACUUGGGCUAAUACCGGAUAGGAGCUCCUGCUGCAUGGUGGGGGUUGGAAAGUUUCGGCGGUUGGGUAUGGACUCGCGGCUUAUCAGCUUGUUGGUGGGGUAGUGGCUUACCAAGGCUUUGACGGGUAGCCGGCCUGAGAGGGUGACCGGCCACAUUGGGACUGAGAUACGGCCCAGACUCCUACGGGAGGCAGCAGUGGGGAAUAUUGCACAAUGGGCGGAAGCCUGAUGCAGCAACGCAGCGUGCGGGAUGACGGCCUUCGGGUUGUAAACCGAUUUCGCCUGUGACGAAGCGUGAGUGACGGUAAUGGGUAAAGAAGCACCGGAUAACUACGUG